This 450-nucleotide RNase P RNA is filed under the name Ideonella sp. MAG2. Its description in RNAcentral is "Bacterial RNase P class A". It matches the Rfam family "Bacterial RNase P class A". Rfam says of the family: Ribonuclease P (RNase P) is a ubiquitous endoribonuclease, found in archaea, bacteria and eukarya as well as chloroplasts and mitochondria. Its best characterised activity is the generation of mature 5'-ends of tRNAs by cleaving the 5'-leader elements of precursor-tRNAs. Lineage: Bacteria; Pseudomonadati; Pseudomonadota; Betaproteobacteria; Burkholderiales; Sphaerotilaceae. The record is from Rfam by way of RNAcentral.
GGAGCAGGCCAGACCGCCGCCUGUGCAAGUGCCGAAAGGCCGCAUGGGAGGAAGGUCCGGACUGCACAGAGCAGCGUAGCGGGUAACGCCCGUCCACCGCAAGGUGCGGAUCAGAGCCACAGAGACGAGUCUUGACGGGACGCCCAGCCAGGGUGUUCUAUGACGGGUCGGCGCAAGCCGACCGGCCGCUGGUGCAAGCCAGCGGGCUUGGGCGCAAGCCCAACGGCGUAGCACCCUUAACGGGGCCAACGCCCCGUUAAGGGUGAAACGCGGCAAUCUCUACGCGCAGCAACACCAAAUAGGCCAGCAUUGAAGCGGCUCGCUGAGCUGGCGGGUAGGUGGCAUUGAGCAGGGGUGGCAACACCCCCGCCCAGAGGAAUGGCGGUCACGCGGUGGGCUUCGCAAGAGGCCUGCCGUGCACAGAAUCCGGCCUAUCGGCUUGCUCCACAC